AAGAAGGUUUGGCAAGAGUGGAGAGUAUUUGGUGGGUCAGAUUGUGAAGCCUAGAAUGCUUAGUGGCCGUUGUUAGUUUGCUCUCCAUGAUGUUGAUGUCUCCCUACUUAGUUUUGUUUAAUUAAUGGAAAGCUCCUGUGAGUGGUUCUAAGAAGCGCAAUACCCAACAGAUAAGCAUUCGUGGUGCAUCUUUUUCAGUUGCGGUUACAGUAGUUCCCAAGAUUUCUAUUGAAUA
Molecule: long non-coding RNA, 235 nt
Organism: Neltuma alba
Lineage: Eukaryota; Viridiplantae; Streptophyta; Magnoliopsida; Fabales; Fabaceae
Exons: 2
Source: RefSeq, a predicted model, not a curated record